Molecule: ribosomal RNA, 464 nt
Filed under: uncultured bacterium
Lineage: Bacteria
Description: partial 16S ribosomal RNA
Rfam family: Bacterial small subunit ribosomal RNA
Source: RNAcentral
UCUACGGGUGGCAGCAGUGAGGAAUAUUGGUCAAUGGGCGCAAGCCUGAACGAGCAAUGCCGCGUGAACGAGGAAGGUCUUCGGAUCGUAAAGUUCUGUUGACGGGGAAAAAGAGCGGAGCGAGGAAAUGCUUUCUGAUUGAUAUUACCCUUCGAGGCAGUCACGGCUCACUACGUGCCAGCAGCCGCGGUAAUACGUAGGUGGCGAGCGUUAUCCGGAAUGAUUGGGCGUAAAGGGUGCGUAGGCGGCCUGCUAAGUCUGGAGUGAAAGGUACCGGCUCAACCGGUACAGGCUCUGGAAACUGGCGGGCUAGAGAGCAGGAGAGGGCGGUGGAACUCAAUGUGUAGCGGUAAAAUGCGUAGAUAGAUGGAAGAACACCAGUGGCGAAGGCGGCCGCCUGGCCUGUGACGGACGCGGAGGCACGAAAGCGUGGGGAGCAAAUAGGAUUAGAUACCCGGGCAGUC